CCUACGGGAGGCAGCAGUAGGGAAUUUUCGUCAAUGGGCGCAAGCCUGAACGAGCAAUGCCGCGUGAACGAGGAAGGUCUUCGGAUUGUUAAGUUUCGUUUAAGGGGAAAAAGAGUGGUGCGAGGAAAUGGUCUCCGAUUUAUAUUAUCCUUCGGGGAAGUCAAGGUUACCUCCGGCCAAGCAGCCGCGGUGAUAGGUAGGUGGCGUGCGUUUUCGGGUUUGUUUGGGCGGAAAGGGUGCGUGGUUGGCCUGUUAAGUCGGGAGGGAAUGGUACCGGCUAAACCGGUACAGGCACUGGAAACUGGCGGGCUAGAGAGCAGGAGAGGGCGGUGGAAUUCGUGGUGUAGCGGUAAAAUGCGUAGAUAUAUGGAAGAACACCAGUGGCGAAGGCAGCCGCCUGGCCUGUUACUGACGCUGAGGCACGAAAGCGUGGGGAGCAAAUAGGAUUAGAUACCCCUGUAGUC
RNAcentral lists this ribosomal RNA (464 nucleotides) under uncultured bacterium. Its description in RNAcentral is "partial 16S ribosomal RNA". It matches the Rfam family "Bacterial small subunit ribosomal RNA", at positions 338 to 795 of the family's 1533-position model. The record is from RNAcentral.